GUUAUUUUUUAAGUUUCAGCUUUAUUGAGAUAUAAUUUACAUACCAUACAGUUCGCCCAUUUAAAGUGUCCAAUUCAGUGGUGGUAGUAUAGUCAGAGUUGUGCAGCUAUCACCACAAUCAAUUUUAGAACAUUUU
Molecule: non-coding RNA, 136 nt
Organism: Ceratotherium simum simum (southern white rhinoceros)
Lineage: Eukaryota; Metazoa; Chordata; Mammalia; Perissodactyla; Rhinocerotidae
Source: RefSeq, a predicted model, not a curated record